UAUAUAUUAGUGUUUAAUGCACAUAAAUUUUUGAAGUUUAAGGAAAUAAUUUAAAUUAUUAAAUAUAA
Molecule: transfer RNA, 68 nt
Filed under: Conostigmus sp. MM-2013
Lineage: Eukaryota; Metazoa; Arthropoda; Insecta; Hymenoptera; Megaspilidae
Description: tRNA-Gln
Source: RNAcentral